GUGAAGAACGCAGCGAAAUGCGAUACUUGGUGUGAAUUGCAGAAUCCCGUGAACCAUCGAGUCUUUGAACGCAAGUUGCGCCCGAAGCCAUCAGGUUGAGGGCACGUCUGCCUGGGCGUCACAUAUCGUUGCCCAAUGCCUAUUGCAGUGCAAUAGGAAUUUCUAGGGCGAAUGAUGGCUUCCCGUGAGCGUUGUUGCCUCGCGGUUGGUUGAAAAUCGAGUCCUUGGUAGGGUGUGCCAUGGUAGAUGGUGGUCGAGUUAGAACGAUACCGAUCAUGUGCAUGCUCCCCAAAAUAUGGCCUCUAUGACCCACACGCGUCUUUUGACGCUCAUGACGAGACCUCAGGUCAGGCGGGGCUACCCGCUGAAUUUAAGCAUAUCAAUAAGCGGAGGA
RNAcentral lists this unclassified non-coding RNA (394 nucleotides) under soil metagenome. RNAcentral's name for it is "partial contains 5.8S ribosomal RNA, internal transcribed spacer 2, and large subunit ribosomal RNA". The stretch from base 2 to 121 matches the Rfam family "5.8S ribosomal RNA", at positions 37 to 154 of the family's 154-position model. The record is from RNAcentral.